GAUGAACGCUGGCUACAGGCUUAACACAUGCAAGUCGAGGGGAAACGACGGGGAAGCUUGCUUCCUUGGGCGUCGACCGGCGCACGGGUGAGUAACGCGUAUCCAACCUGCCUCUGACUGAGGGAUAACCCGUCGAAAGUCGGCCUAAUACCUCAUGGCAUCGUCUGCGGGCAUCCAACGACGAUUAAAGAUUUCAUCGGUCAGGGAUGGGGAUGCGUCUGAUUAGCUUGUUGGCGGGGUAACGGCCCACCAAGGCAACGAUCAGUAGGGGUUCUGAGAGGAAGGUCCCCCACAUUGGAACUGAGACACGGUCCAAACUCCUACGGGAGGCAGCAGUGAGGAAUAUUGGUCAAUGGGCGGGAGCCUGAACCAGCCAAGUAGCGUGCAGGAAGACGGCCCUAUGGGUUGUAAACUGCUUUUAUGCGGGGAUAAAGUGAGGGACGUGUCCUUUCAUUGCAGGUACCGCAUGAAUAAGGACCGCUAAUUCC
This 488-nucleotide ribosomal RNA is filed under the name Segatella oris. Its description in RNAcentral is "bacterial SSU rRNA". It matches the Rfam family "Bacterial small subunit ribosomal RNA", at positions 28 to 504 of the family's 1533-position model. Lineage: Bacteria; Pseudomonadati; Bacteroidota; Bacteroidia; Bacteroidales; Prevotellaceae. The record is from RNAcentral.